Neomonachus schauinslandi (Hawaiian monk seal) is the source of this 136-nucleotide small nuclear RNA. RefSeq annotates it as U4 spliceosomal RNA. The record is from RefSeq and is a predicted model, not a curated record. The transcript has a single exon. NCBI's taxonomy places the organism in Eukaryota, Metazoa, Chordata, Mammalia, Carnivora, Phocidae.
AGCUUUGCGCAGUGGCAGUAUCGUAGCCAAUGAGGUUUAUCCGAGGCGCGAUUAUUGCUAAUUGAAAAGAUAGCCAAGAGUAUUAUCCCCAUUUUAAAUACAAGUAAACGGAAAUUCAGAGAGACUAGGUAACUAG